CUGGUGAAUGGCUCGGCUCGAGAGCCGACGAAGGACGUGCCAAGCUGCGAAAAGCCUGAGGGAGCCGCACGGAGGCUAAGAACUCAGGAUCUCCGAAUGGGAAUCCCUACAACAAUUGCCAACGCGCAAUAGGGAACGUUCCGAAUUGAAACAUCUCAGUAGGAACAGGAACAAAAAGCAAUCCGCGAUGUCGUUAGUAACGGCGAGUAAACGCGACACAGUCCAAACCGAAUCCGCAAGGAAAUGUGGUGUACGGACAAUCUACAACGGAUCGCCAACACACGAGAAGUCUCCUGGAACGGAGCGUGAUACAGGGUGACAACCCCGUAUCGUAUGAAGGCAAUCCCGAGAUUGCUCCAGAGUAGCGGGGGUUGGAUAUCCCUCGUGAAUCUCGCAGGCAUCGACUGCGAAGACUAAACACUCCUCGAGACCGAUAGCGAACAAGUAGCGCGAGCGAACGCUGAAAAGCACCCCGAAAAGGGCGGUGCAAUAGGGCCUGAAAUCAGUCAGUGAUAGAGCGACGGGGCAUACAAGGUCCCUCGAAGAACGACCGUCGGGCGACCCACCAGUAGGAAUCCGAGGAAGCCGGUGUUCCGUCGUACGUUUUGAAAAACGAACCAGGGAGUGCAUCUACAUGGCGAGUCUAACUGGAUCAUCCAGGAAGGCGCAGGGAAACCGACAAGGCCGCAGCAUUGCGAGGGCCGCCGUGUUCAAGCGCGGGGAGUCAAGUGGGUGCGACCCGAAACCAGAUGAUCUACACGAGGGCAAGACGAAGCGUGGCGAAAGCCACGUGGAGGUCUGUUAGGGUUGGUGUCUUACAAUACCCUCCCGUGACCCGUGUGUAGGGGUGAAAGGCCCAUCGAAUCUGGCAACAGCUGGUUCCAGCCGAAACAUGUCGAAGCAUGACCUCAGCCGAGAUAGUCUGCGAGGUAGAGCGACCGAUUGGAAGACCCGCCUCCGAGAGGAGUCGGCCUUCCUGUCGAACUCCAAACUUGCAGACGUCGUAGACGCUGGGAAUCCGGACUGCGGGGUAAGCUUGUGGUCCGUGAGGGAGACAACCCAGAGCCGGGUUAAGGUCCCCAAGUGUGGAUUAAGUGCGAUCGAAGAUUGUCUCGAGCCCUAAACAGCCGGGAGGUGAGCUUAGAAGCAGCUACCCUCUAAGAAAAGCGUAACAGCUUACCGGCCGAGGUUCGAGGCGUCGAAAAUGAUCGGGGCUCAAAUCCACCACCGAGACCUGGCGGCAGGCGACACCACACGCCUGACCCAGUAGGCUGGCAUACUGUGCGGGUGGAAGUAGGGGUGAAAACUCCUAUGGACCGAUUAGUGACGAAAAUCCUGGCCAUAGUAGCAGCGAUAGUCGGGUGAGAACCCCGACGACCUAAUGAGAUAAGGGUUCCUCGGCACUGCCAAUCAGCCGAGGGUUAGUCGAUCCUAAGUCAUACCGUAACUCGAAUAUGACGAAAUGGGAAACGGGUUAAUAUUCCCGUACCACUAUGCACUCAAAGUUGACGCCCUGGGGUCGAUCACGCUGGGCAUUCGCCCAGUCGAACCGUCCAACUCCGUGCGCAGUUCGCUAUGCCCGAGGGCGAAUCGAAGGUGUGGAACAACGCCAUCAUGGAACUGGGCGGCGUCGCCUGCGAGAAGACGCCCACGUGCGACGAAUCUGGGUGUCCAUGGCGGCGGUGGUGCCACGCCUACGAGACAACCAACGUUAGGGAAUUCGGCAAGUUAGUCACGUAACUUCGGAUGAAGGGAUGCCUGCUCUUGACCGAGCAGGUCGCAGUGACUCGGGCGCUCCAACUGUCUAGUAACAACAUAGGUGACCGCAAAUCCGCAAGGACUCGUACGGUCACUGAAUCCUGCCCAGUGCAGGUAUCUGAACACCUCGUACAAGAGGACGAAGGACCUGUCAACGGCGGGGGUAACUAUGACCCUCUUAAGGUAGCGUAGUACCUUGCCGCUUCAGUAGCGGCUUGCAUGAAUGGAUCAAUGAGAGCGCCACUGUCCCAACGUUGGGCCCGGUGAACUGUACGUUCCAGUGCGGAGUCUGGAGACCCCCAAGGGGAAGCGAAGACCCUAUAGAGCUUUACUGCAGGCUGUCGCUGGGACGUGGUCGCUGAUGUGCAGCAUAGGUAGGAGACACUACACAGGUAUCCGCGCUAGCGGACCACCGAGUCAUCAUUGAAAUACUACCCGUCAGUGACUGCGACCCUCACUCCGGGAGGAGGACACCGGUAGCCGGGCAGUUUGACUGGGGCGGUACGCGCUCGAAAAGAUAUCGAGCGCGCCCAAAGAUUUCCUCACGCGAGUCGGAAACUCGUGGAAGAGCGCAAGAGCACACGGAAGUCUGACAGUGUCAUUCCCAACGAGUGACGCUGACGCGAAAGCGUGGUCUAGCGAACCUACGAAGUUCCUCAAUGGGACUCGUAGAUGACAGAAAAGCUACCUUAGGGAUAACAGAGUCGUCACCGGCAAGAGCACAUAUCGACCCGGUGGCUUGCUACCUCGAUGUCGGUUCCCUCCAUCCUGCCUGUGCAGAAGCAGGCAAGGGUGAGGUUGUUCGCCUAUUAAAGGAUGUCGUGAGCUGGGUUUAGACCGUCGUGAGACAGGUCGGCUGCUAUCUAUUGGGGGUGUUACGGUACUUGACGGGAACGAUCGUAUAGUACGAGAGGAACUACGAUUGGUCGCCGCUGGUGUAUCGGUUGUCCGAAAGGGCAGAUGCCGAGUAGCUACGCGACACGGGGUAAGAGCUGAACGCAUCUAAGCUCGAAACCCACCUGGAAAAGAGUCACCGCCGAGGUCC
RNAcentral lists this ribosomal RNA (2803 nucleotides) under Halogeometricum sp. wsp3. RNAcentral's name for it is "bacterial LSU rRNA". It matches the Rfam family "Archaeal large subunit ribosomal RNA". Lineage: Archaea; Methanobacteriati; Methanobacteriota; Halobacteria; Halobacteriales; Haloferacaceae. The record is from RNAcentral.